Molecule: ribosomal RNA, 466 nt
Filed under: uncultured bacterium
Lineage: Bacteria
Description: partial 16S ribosomal RNA
Rfam family: Bacterial small subunit ribosomal RNA
Source: RNAcentral
GAUGAACGCUGGCGGCGUGCUUAACACAUGCAAGUCGAACGGAAAGGCCCAAGCUUGCUUGGGUACUCGAGUGGCGAACGGGUGAGUAACACGUGGGUGAUCUGCCCUGCACUUCGGGAUAAGCCUGGGAAACUGGGUCUAAUACCGGAUAGGACCACAUUUUGGAUGGUGUGGCGGAAAGUUUUUCGGUGUGGGAUGAGCUCGCGGCCUAUCAGCUUGUUGGUGGGGUAAUGGCCUACCAAGGCGUCGACGGGUAGCCGGCCUGAGAGGGUGUACGGCCACAUUGGGACUGAGAUACGGCCCAGACUCCUACGGGAGGCAGCAGUGGGGAAUAUUGCACAAUGGGCGCAAGCCUGAUGCAGCGACGCCGCGUGGGGGAUGACGGCCUUCGGGUUGUAAACUCCUUUCGCUAGGGACGAAGCGUUAUGUGACGGUACCUGGAGAAGAAGCACCGGCUAACUACGUG